RNAcentral lists this transfer RNA (73 nucleotides) under Acidisoma sibiricum. RNAcentral's name for it is "tRNA-Ile". It matches the Rfam family "tRNA". From Rfam's summary of the family: Transfer RNA (tRNA) molecules are approximately 80 nucleotides in length. RNAcentral also lists the same sequence under 5 other names. The record is from RNAcentral. Lineage: Bacteria; Pseudomonadati; Pseudomonadota; Alphaproteobacteria; Acetobacterales; Acidocellaceae.
GCGCCUGUAGCUCAACGGUUAGAGCGGGCCGCUCAUAACGGCUUGGUUGCGGGUUCGAUUCCUGCCAGGCGCA